CAGUAGCCGCGGUAAUACAGAGGGUGCGAGCGUUAAUCGGAUUUACUGGGCGUAAAGCGUGCGUAGGCGGCUUCUUAAGUCGGAUGUGAAAUCCCUGAGCUUAACUUAGGAAUUGCAUUCGAUACUGGGAAGCUAGAGUAUGGGAGAGGAUGGUAGAAUUCCAGGUGUAGCGGUGAAAUGCGUAGAGAUCUGGAGGAAUACCGAUGGCGAAGGCAGCCAUCUGGCCUAAUACUGACGCUGAGGUACGAAAGCAUGGGGAGCAAACAGGAUUAGAUACCCGCGUAGUCCCUGUCUCUUAUAC
RNAcentral lists this ribosomal RNA (301 nucleotides) under uncultured bacterium. RNAcentral describes it as "partial 16S ribosomal RNA". It matches the Rfam family "Bacterial small subunit ribosomal RNA", at positions 509 to 807 of the family's 1533-position model. The record is from RNAcentral.